This 253-nucleotide ribosomal RNA is filed under the name uncultured bacterium. RNAcentral describes it as "partial 16S ribosomal RNA". It matches the Rfam family "Bacterial small subunit ribosomal RNA", at positions 524 to 776 of the family's 1533-position model. The record is from RNAcentral.
GACGAACCGAGCGAACGUUGUUCGGAAUCACUGGGCUUAAAGGGCGCGUAGGCGGGCUGCCGCGUCCGGGGUGAAAUGCCACGGCUCAACCGUGGAACGGCCUCGGAUACGGGCGGUCUCGAGGGGGGUAGGGGCAUCUGGAACUGUGGGUGGAGCGGUGAAAUGCGUUGAUAUCCACAGGAACUCCGGUGGCGAAGGCGAGGUGCUGGACCCCAUCUGACGCUGAGGCGCGAAAGCCAGGGGAGCAAACGGG